AUUAGCUGGAUACAAUAGGAAGGGUCGGACAAAGCCAAGAUUGGUUGUCCGUCAGGCGGAUUGGGUAAUAACAAACCACCCACUUAUUUGUACCGAGAGUCAGAAGUUCGAAGUUUAACGGGGUAGAAGAAGCUAUGGGACUGCACUGAUACACACUGAUUCUUCGAGAUACUGUGCGAGCAUGAUCCUUCUGUAGAAUCUGGUUAUGUUAUGUUUAUGACAUUCGGCGUAAUUGCAGUUCGCCUGCAUCUGUGCUGCACAGGCAGUGUGGUCGGCUGGCUAGCUAGCUAGCUACAAAAGGGAAGUAGUGGCGUGUGGAGUAGAGGAGAGGGAGGUGUUUCCUCGGCUGGUGUGCUAGCUAGCUAGUUACCCAGCCAGGUAUCUAACGUUAUUUAAAUAAAUAGCUGUCUCGGGUAGCGGUAUCAUACAGUAGAACCCACGCCGUUAGCGUGGUAGGAAGUUAUUUUAUCUGAGUACCUUUGUAUAUUUUCUAUAUUUUCUAAUUGUGAUGUAGCGCGCAUUGUUCGCGUGUAAUGCGACUGCUGCCGUGUCCCGAGACGCUAGUUAGCUAGCUAGCUACCCAGCCGUGUAUCUUGCUUCCUCUUCCAAUUCAGCAAGCAGGCGUUCGCUGUGAAAAUAUUGUUUUAAUAAGGCACGACAUGUUCAAACUCGGUGCACUGCUGUAGUACCUUGCAUAUGAACGCAUAGUGCAUUACGCUCGGUUCUCUGCACUGCAUGUCAUUCAGGUGAUCGCUAGCUAACCUUCGUCUCCUAACUAGCUAGCUUUUACACUUGGGGCUGUUAACUAGCUUGCUGUUGAGCUUGCUACAGAAUAGCUAUGCAGGCGAAGCAUAGGGUCGGGAUGAAUAGAUAGUGCAAGUUGCAUUCAGAAUUCCUUUUGGGAUUUUCAGUGGUUGCCUAUCGGACUUGCCUUGAAGGCAGAUAUUUGAAAUAAAGAAGAAUGAAGAAGUUUUCUCGCAUGCCAAAGUCCGAGAGUGGUGGGCUCGGUGGAGGAUCCGGUUCAGGGUCUGGUUCUGGAGUCGGCAACUACAUCGGGAAGGUGUUCUGUGUCGGCCGAUACCAGGUCACCGUGGAAGAACUUAUUGCAGAAGGGGGGUUUUCCGUGGUCUUCCUGGCCCGGACUCACAGUGGAGUACGAUGUGCCCUAAAGAGGAUGUACGUGAACAACGUCCCGGACCUGAACAUCUACAAAAGGGAGAUCACGAUCAUGAAGGAGCUGUCGGGUCACAAGAACAUAGUGAGCUACCUGGACUCUGCCAUUAACACGGUGGGGGACAGCGUGUGGGAGGUGCUCAUCAUCAUGGAGUACUGCAAAGCUGGCCAGGUGGUGAAGCAGAUGAACCAGCGUCUCCACACGGGAUUCAGCGAAGUCGAAGUCCUCCACAUAUUCUGUGACACGUGCGAGGCGGUGGCUAGGCUACACCAGUGUAAAACUCCGGUCAUUCAUCGGGACCUGAAGGUUGAAAAUAUUCUGCUGAAUGACCAGGGGAACUACGUCCUGUGUGACUUUGGAAGUGCCACACACAAAGUUCUGCUACCGCACAAGGAUGGAGUAACUGCGGUGGAGGACGAAAUCAAAAAGUACACGACACUCUCCUACCGUGCCCCGGAGAUGAUCAAUCUUUACGGAGGGAAAGCCAUCACCACUAAAGCCGACAUAUGGGCGCUCGGAUGCUUGUUGUACAAGCUGUGCUUCUUCUCCCUUCCUUUUGGGGAGAGUCAGGUUGCCAUAUGCGAUGGAACUUUCAUUGUUCCGGAUAAUUCCAAAUUCUCCUUCAAGUUGCACUGCUUAAUCAGAUACAUGCUUGAGCCGGAACUAGAAAAGAGACCGGACAUCUAUCAAGUCUCCUACUUUGCCUUCAAGUUGGCUGGAAAAGAUUGCCCCGUGCCAAACCUGUUUAACUCCCCUCUUCCCACGUCACUGCCUGAGCCUCUGACCGCCAGCGAGGUCGCUGCCAAGAAGAACAUGACGAAAGCCAGGAUAACGGACUCGGUGGGGCCCACGGAAACCUCCAUCGCCCCGCGGCAGAGGCCGAAAGCGGCCAACAGCAACGUCGUCCUGCCCAUACACAACGCCGUGACGCCCGUGAAGAUGACCGUCCCCGCCGCGGCCGAGAGCAACGGGCAGAGAGUAGGGCCGGCCGCUGGGAACGGACACCCCGCUGCGCAGCCGCAGGGAGGCAGCCAGCAGCACCGCGUCCUGCAGCAGCUGCAGCCGGGGGACCUGCGACUGCAGCAGCUGCAGCAGCAGCAGCAACACCAGCAGCCGCAGCAUCCGCAACAUCAGCCACCGCAGCAGCACCAUCAGCAGCAUCAUCUCCCGCAUCAGCAGCCGUCAAAUCUGCAGCACCUCCAGUACCUACAACAGUAUCAGCAGGCCCUCCACAUGCAGCAGCAGCAGCAGCAGCAGCAGUUGCUCCAGCAGCAGAUGAUGAUGCCGCCUGUCUAUCAGCAGCAGGCCCAGUACGCAGUCAUGAUGCACCAGUACCAACAAGCGUUUGCACAGCAGCAGCAACAACAACAGCAACAGCAUCUCAACCAUCAGCAGCAACAGCAACAGCAUCUCAGCCAACAACAGCAGCAACAGCAUCUCAAUCAGCAGCUCCCUUAUCUCACCUCCCCGCUGGAGUUCCAGCCUCCCCUGGGGACCUUGGCCCCGGCCGGGACCGCCCACCUGGGGCCCGCCCCGGUAGAGCCUCCAUUCACUAACCCCAGUAGAAACCCCCUCCUGAACACAGAGGCGAUCACCCCUCCCCACCCGACCGUCAGUAACCCCCCGGACAUGUCCAGGUGGAACCCCUUCGGGGAGGACAACUUCUCCAAGCUGACCGAGGAGGAACUGCUGGACCGAGAGUUUGACCUUCUUAGAGCAAAGAAACCGGUGGAGAGAGCGGUGAGCGCCGACACCGGAGCGGGGAGGCAGGUCUCCCUCAGGCCCGUCCCCGAGGACCUUUUUGGCUCCGUCCCGUUCCUGGCCAACCCAGUAGGUGGCAGUGUGACGAGUCCGGAGCAGCUGAGUGAGGAGGCCACCGCGCCCCCAGCAAUGCUCGCACUGGAGGAGCCCCUCCCACCGGCCAUCAAGGAGCACAAACCCCUCAAGAGGAGCGGCGCGGCCGGGCCGCCAGCCCGCAAGGCGGGGGGGGAGGAGUCCGACAGCGACUUCGAGUCGGACCCGCCGUCGCCCAAGAGCAGCGAGGAGGACGAGCCGGAGGAGGACGAGGGCCUGAACAGCGAGCACGGCGAGUUCAACGACGACACGGAGCCCGAGAACCUGGGCCAGCGGCCGCUGCUCAUGGACUCGGAGGACGAGGCGGAGGAGGACGAGGACAAGCACAGCUCCGACUCCGACUGCGACCAGAGGAAGGCCAAGACACGGCCGGGCCGGCCGGCGGGAGGCAAAGUCGCCACCGCGGCGGGAACCGCCGGGACCAAACCCGGCCCCAGCCUGGUCACCCCCCCCGCCUCGCCCGGCGCGCCGGCCCCGGACCCCACCGGGGGGGAGGUGGACGUGUUUGGGGCCGUGCCCUUCCUCGGCGGGGGCCAGACCCCGAAGGCGGGCCCCGAGGGAGCCGACAUCUUCUCCAAGGCCCCGUUCCGGCAGGCCAGCCAGGAGCAGGCCAUGGACGAGUUCGACGUCUUCACCAAAGCGCCCUUCAGCCGGAACCUGUCCCGGACCAGCAAGAGCGGCGACGCCCCCGCGGGGCAGACCCCCCCCGUCUCCCCCGGCAGCGUGGACGUCUUCGGCUGCUCCCCCUUCCAGCCCAGCCACCCAGCGGCGCCGCCCCCCCAGUCCCAGGGCGGGGAGGACGUCUUCGGCCCGGGAACCUUCGAGGAGUCGUGCAGCCCCCAGCAGCAGAAGAACAAGCAGCGCAGCCUCCAGAAGCUCACCUCCCGCCAGAGGCGCACCAAGCAGGAGAGCGCCGGCGGCAACGGCAAGCGGCACCACGGCACCCCCACCGGCGGCAGGAAGAGCGGCAAGCCCAGCUACCGCACCCCCGAGCGGGCCCGCCGCCACAAGAAGGUGGGCCGGAGGGACUCGCAGAGCAGCAACGAGUUCCUCAGCGCCUCCGACUCCAAGGAGAACAUCAGCGUCGGGGCCAGGGGCGACGGCAAGGACAAGGGCCCGUCCCUGCCCGCCGAGGACGCCCUGCUGGACCCGUUCGGCGCCAAGCCCUUCCACCCGCCGGACGGCGGCCGCCACCCCCAGCACCAGGGCGACCUGAACCCGGCCGGCGGCAGGUCCCGGACCAGCUCCCUGCACGGCGCCUUCGCGGACGGGAACAAAAUGGACGACUUCGGCGCCGUGCCCUUCACGGAAAUGGUGGUCCACGGCGGGCCGCAGCAGCAGCAGCAGCUCCCCCCGCAGGUGGAUCUGGACCCUUUUGGAGCCGCCCCCUUCCCUUCCAAACAGUGAAUGUCUCGUCUUCCAGCACACAUUCACACACACACUCACACACACACACGCACCGUGGUGUUAUGCAAAGCCUGUGAAAUCCCGCGACGGAAUCCUCUAGGCCGGUGGCUUUGCGAUUCGCUUACUGCCCGCAUCCAAAUUAGCUGGUGAUACUCGCUAACGAACGAGGACUUAAAGAUGCUUUUUUUAAAAAAAACUAUUUUAAUACGUAACGGACUUGGAGUUGAGGAAGAAUCCUGUGGAGUAUAGAUGAUCUAUUCUAAAUUUGAUAUGCAUUACCUUUAGCCUGUACCUGUUCGCUAAAGAGCCUCGUAUGCUGCAUUAAUUCAUUUUGUUCUGGAGACGUUUGCCAGAGACCUUAUCCUUAACUUUGAAAGGAUGAAUUCCACUCAGAUUGUACUGUGAUAAUGAGCUUGCUCCAUCGUCAACUGUUCGAGUGGCUGCCAAGCUCUGUGUGUGUAGAUUGUGGCUUCCUACGUGAUCUACCAAUAAGAUGAAUUUCACACCGCAAAGCCUUAUGGGUAAAGUCCCACCCUGCUGCACAGUACAGUACCUCUGAACCAUCACGCUGAACUUGCGCAUAUAUCUUGGCUGAAUGAUGCUUCAGCAUAGGCCUUUAAAGUUUUAUUUCGCCUAUUUAGACUUAACAUUUUCUAUGUAUAUUUUUACAUUUAGGAAGUCAGAUACUCUCUUGUAUUUCAGUACAUAGAAGCAUUUCGCUGUGGUGAAAAUUUGUAUUGCAUCUUUUUCUUUUCUUGAAUACUAGAAUGAAAGGGAUUUUUUUGUUGUUUUUAUUCCUAAACAGUUAGAGCUGUCACCAGCGACAUUCUAAUACGGAGUCUUUACAAACUGUAAUUUUAAUAGGAUUUCGCUGUUAACAGUUGAAAAAAUGCAGGUAAGGAGUACUGCUCAUUUUGAAUUUUGCUGUGAUCUUUUUUAAACCAAAUAAAAUCACAGUAUUACAGAUCAUAGAUUAAAUGUGAAGUUUUAUAAUGUAGCAAUAUGAAAUGAAAAUCCGUGUAGUUAUUUGGGACUACAAGUACUGCCAAUUCCUUCUGCUGAUGCCGAUUAACCAGACUACCAUUGUCAACGUAACUUGGCAACAGCCAUGCAUCACGAAAAGGGAAAUGAACCUAAAUUACGCUCUCAAGAUCAGACGGAUGUAAGAGAGGGUGACAAAACCUCCCGGAUCAAAAUUAUACCAAUUAAGUGCACUUUCCACAUUUUACGCUUCCGUUUGAUUUUCUUUUGUACUUGAAAGAAAAGGAGAAAAACGGUUAUGGCUUAUCUGGAUUUUCAGGUUUGACUUUCCCAUGCAUUUACUAGCCCUAAGCCCAUUAGCACAUUAAGGCUAAUACGGCAGUCUUAUCUUUUUUCCCUCUACUCCUAACAGUCCUAUUGAAUUCUUUUUUUUUUUUUAGUGGCAUAGCUUUUUAAAAAAAUUUUUUUUAUAGUUCUAACAGACGUUUCCCCCCUUUUGUUAUAUUUAUGUUGUACUGCUGUCUAAAAAAUGCAAUAAAGAGGAUGGAUUCGUUAAAAAAAGUUUUCUGUCAUAGGGCUGGGUACUGUCGCCUUCUUCACGAAGCAAUACGUUUCCCGCUUGCAGACUUCUGUCAGAAGAGGGCGCUUUGUGUGCAGCUUGGAAGAGCAGAGCAACGACCUUCAUCCCAGCAACUGAAUCCCUUCAUCCAAGGCUGAGUCUCACGAACCAGAGCUGCGGUUUAACUGGACUAGCCACCCAGCAACCCUCUUCCAAGGCGUUUUUGUUUGCAAGGUAAAUGCUAGUCGUUUCAUAGCAGUUACAGACAGCAAUUGCAUUCAACAAGCUUCAGUUGUAUUUACAAAUGGCCCAUCACCAUAUAUAAAAAUAGUCAUGCUUAAUAUAAAUGAAACAGCCCAUUUAGAUUAGUUUUCAGUGCGCAACAUAUCCAAACUCCAGUAAAAACGUCAUAUGGUUUUAUUCAUAAAGCACACAUGCCCAUCAAAAAGUUUCAGUAUCAAUAAUGAUAGACAGUUGAUAUUUUACAGUGUUUAGCUUGUAAUGUAUAUACGUGCACAGAGGACAAUGAGAGAAAUGUAACAUUGCUGUAAACAAUGAUCUACCCGUGCCCAUCUGAGCAAGGCAUGAGCCGCAUAAUUAAAAAAAAAAAGACAUAAAAAUGCCAGCGACGCAGGCUCAGUGCACGGACUCUCCUGCUUUUUAAAGGGCACCUCUAUCAGAGGUAUUACAGCUCUGCAGACCUCUUAGCGCUUUGGUUUGUAAAGGGCUACAGUGUCUAGCUCCAGAGCAUGUAACAGUGUUUGGACUUUGCCUGGAAAAUGAAUUCAGAAUCGAGGCAAAAAAAAGAAAAGAAAUAAGUGUCAACACACGCUUGGUCCAUUUGUAAAUCAAACAGUGACCGGGUGUUGAUGAUACUGACAUAUUGUUUGCACAGUCGGAGGUAUGACGCAUGAAAGACAAGUUCUGUACAGAGCCUAAACAGCCUUUCUUGUUGAACGCUUUCCUAUAUUUAGCAGGAAUUUAAAUGUAUUUUUCCUUGAAAUAAAUUACACUAGAACAAGUGCCUGAAGGACAGUUUCUAAUCAAAUUAAGAAAUAAAUAGGCUAUUGUACAGCUGGGCUAUAUCACUACCAUACAGUGCACAGUUAAUGCAUGCU
Anguilla rostrata (American eel) is the source of this 7093-nucleotide RNA transcript. It is a transcript of the gene named BMP2 inducible kinase, with no coding region annotated. The record is from RefSeq and is a predicted model, not a curated record. The transcript has 17 exons. NCBI's taxonomy places the organism in Eukaryota, Metazoa, Chordata, Actinopteri, Anguilliformes, Anguillidae.